RNAcentral lists this long non-coding RNA (396 nucleotides) under Brassica napus (rape). RNAcentral describes it as "long non-coding RNA (BNAP_LNC022575)". The record is from RNAcentral. Lineage: Eukaryota; Viridiplantae; Streptophyta; Magnoliopsida; Brassicales; Brassicaceae.
UUGAGCCUUGUUUGUGGUGGUUAGUGAUGAAGUGUUACCCGUCGGCGAUGGCGUUUUGGGGUUUGAGCAGUGGUUGGGUGAUGGUUCGUUCUCGGUGAGGUCGGCUUCUCUGUCAGGGCGUGUUUUUUCCCGCCAGUGGGGAUUAGAGAAGCUGUCUGUUGAUUCGAGGGGUUUUGAGUCUGGUUCGGGUGUCGCGUCAAGUUGGUUGGUUGAUCUUUGUCUCUGGCUCCUCGUAGUUUGUGGUUUAGUAUUUAGCUGUUCAAUUUCUUUUAGAAUUGAUGAGUGUGUUUGUGGCUGGUCUGUUCGGUUAAUGCUCGUUUGAGAUCUUUCAGUGUUGUUGCUCUGUUUCUUCUGGUCGUUCUAUGCUUGGCUGAGACUGAAGGCUUUAAACCUUAU